This is a long non-coding RNA of Phyllostomus discolor (pale spear-nosed bat), 4903 nucleotides long. RefSeq lists it as uncharacterized. The record is from RefSeq and is a predicted model, not a curated record. NCBI's taxonomy places the organism in Eukaryota, Metazoa, Chordata, Mammalia, Chiroptera, Phyllostomidae. The transcript has 3 exons.
GGAAGCGACCUUCAACCAAUCGGGAACCCCACGUGGGGAGAGCGUAGUGACCCCACGAGCUAGAGCGCCGCCAAAGCUCUGUCCUACCUCGAGCCCCUACCACUUGGAGGACUUUUUCCGCCCAGCGAGGUGAGGGGCUAGAGCGGCCUAAAGUACGCUCUGGAAGAAGGGAGGUUUCCCGAGCGACUCACCCCAAAACCUCAGAGUGUGAUGAUACUGCGCUGAGAAAUCAAAGAGCGAAAGGAGACAGUUUCCACGGGCGUUAAGCCCUUUAACUUAAAAUUUUAUUAAAGGAGGUACAGGAGCCAGAUCUACAAAGCAGCAAAGGACCUUACAAGCAUAAAGAAUAGCAUGAGGCAAAGGUUCCUGCAGAAUGUUAGGCAGAAUCAUCAAUGACUGAAGAGCAGCGGAAAUUGCACCCUACCUCACAGAUGCUACAAGACAGCUAUUUAAGUGGGAAUCUCUUCCUCUCCACCCCCAAAGGAAAAAAAUUAAACCAGUCUCCUGGCACUCUCAUGUAGUGUCAGAAGUAUAACUGCACUGUUAAAGCAAUUUAACUAUUCUUAUUUUUAAAACGUUCGAUAUGUACAAGAGAAUGUUAAUGUAAAUUACAAAACAUAAUAAAAUGAAUACCUGUGAAUGUACCACCCAAUUUAUGAAAAAAAAUUAACCUGUACUAUUGAAACUUACUGUGGGCUCCUCCCAAAUUUCACCUUCUCUCUGCUUCCUUCCAAAAGUAAUCACUAUCCUGAUUUUUAAAAAUAAUUUUCUUGUCUUUAUAUAAUUACCAUAUAUAUUCGUAGAUAUACACUAUUUACUAUUCCUUGUCUUUGAACUUGAGUUAUUUCCUUGCUAUAUUAUACUGCUGCUUGUUUGCAAUCAACUUUGUAUCUAGACUCCAUCCCUGUUAUAUGUAGUUGUAUUUUCUCUGCCAUAUAGCAUUCCAUUGUAUGAAUACACCAUGAUUUAUAUUCUCCAUUUUCCUAUCACCAACAUUUAGAGCGUUUCCUUUCUCCAUCCCCACACUCAUUAUGUAAUUUCUGAUUAUUCUUGUAUAUUCUGUACCCUGCGUGUGAGAAUUGUUUUUAUGGUAGAAUUGUUGGUUUGAAGGAUACAACAGUCAAAGAACUUUCUAAAGUUGUGCCAUUAUACACUUAUAGUAGUGUCUUCUCCUUAAGCUUAAGCACAGAUCCUUCCUUAUUUUUCCAAAGCUUAAGAUAAGGUUGCCAAGUUUGAAAAUUUUAUCAAUGGAAGUCUGAUUUGCAAGAAAAAUCUUAAAACUAAAUAGCAUAAUUCAGUGUUGGAAAUCUUUGGUCAUGUCCCUUCAUUGGGGAUCCUUUCCCCAGUUACCCAGGGCCAACUCACCAUGCCAGGAAAACAGCCUUCUUUAUCAGUCUUGUCUUUCAGAUCAGAUCAAAGAAAAUAAAGACCCCAGACACACUCCAAAAAAAACAAAACAACAAAACAAAGAGCAUGCUGCCUACAAAGAUGAAGCCUUGCCCACAAUGUAGUCAUCCUUUUUACCUCACUGCAUUACAGUUGUUCAUAAUUGUUCUGAGCUUCUUCAUUCCAGGAUGAAUUUUUGCUUUAUUUUCAUAUACCCAGAAGACCUAUUAAACUGUUUUUUCAAAAAAGCACCCUUCCCCUAGAGAUAAAUUUUACAAUCAUCCCUAGAGUAGUUCUAUAGGUUAAAACCUCUUGGCUUGAAAGUAACAGAAACCAUUUCAAGCUAGCCUAAGGAGAAUCUAAGGACACAAGGGUAACUUAAGGCAUCAGAAAAGAAUCCAUCAUUGCCCAAGUUUGGAUCAGGUACCCUUCUGAAACUCAGUCUAGAGAGAUGAGGUCAUAUUGUAGCAAAUGGCUUCCAAUGAAUCUUUGCUGUGGAUGAGAGAGGGUCACUUUAAAUGCUCAACAAAUGUUUUUUAAAUGUUUGAAUGUUGGGAAGAGCCAGAGCAACAAUUUCUAAAUAGCAAAACCAAAAGUAGAUAUCCCAUUUGUUCCUUUCCUCUUUCCAAAGAGUCAAUAAUUAUGAGUCAACUAUCUUUAUAAAAACUCUACUCAUUAGUGAAAGAUCUCAUUAAAGAUGUAUAUAUACACAUCAUAUAUGUUUGUGUGUGUGUGUACAGACCAUUAAUUUAGAGCCUUCCUUUCCAAGUAUUACAGAGCAGUAUAAAGCAGUUUCCCUACCUUGAUAGUAUUGACAUUUGGGGCCAGAUAAUGUUUUUUGAAGGGGGCAGGCUGUCCUGUGUAUUGUAAAAUGUUUAGCAGCAUCUCUGGCCUCUGCCCAGUAGAUGACAGUAACGUUCCCCUUCUCCCUAUUGUGACAAACAAAAAUGUCUCUAAAUGCCAAAUGGCCCCUGGGUGGUAAUACUGAUCGAUUUAAAAACCAUUGGUAAAGAACAUGGCCUUAGUAAACUUUUAGUACAAUUAAAGACACAAAACAUUUUUGAAACAAUUAGAGAACAAAAACUAAAACAAUAUACAAGAUUAUAUUGCAAACGAUCAUAACAUUUCAAUUUUCAUUUAAUAAUCUUGGGGGAACAUAGAAAAAAUAAUUUACCAUUUUAUUCUGUUGGAAAAUAACAGUGGUCAUAUACAAGAGCCUCAUGGUGUUUAAUGCUAUUUGGAAUGUUGUUCAGAUUUUUACCAGAAGGAUGCUACAGAUAAAAGUACCUUAAUUUCCCCCCACAAUUUCUCAGAUAGCAACUGUAUCUGACUGAAGUUGUGAAUCAGUAACAUAUUUCAUAUUGUUUUAUUGGGACAAUUUCAGAAAUGAGCUUUAUCUGUCUAAUUGGCUUUGGUUUGUAAGGACCACCUAACCUUAGCUUUAUCUGUUCUUACAGGCUUUCAAUCUAAUAAUGCACAUCUACAUUAAUCUAUUCAACAAAUAUCUAUUGAACACCUAGGUACCAGGACCUGUGCUAUGCAUUUGGGGAUAUGUGGUCAGCAAAUAAUACUACUAACAGUUCUUCCCCUCAUGGAGUUUACCAUCUAAUGAGAGAAAGAGACAUUGAUCAAAUGUGAAUUUAACAAAUGUAUUAAGCCCUUAAUACAUUUGGUGCUAUGUGGUUCUACAAUGGACAGAAGUUACCUCUUCAGGGAGCUCAGGGAAGUUUUCCUAAGAAAGUGAAAAAUUGAGUUGAAAUCUAAGAAUCACUAAGGGUGAAGGGAUGAGGCUAAGGAAUGGUGGUGGCUGAGAUGAAGAGGAUCAUUUGAGAAAACAGCCAAAAUAGGAACCCUCAACUAAAUAAAUGAUCGGGAAUUCAUUUGUAAGGACAAUAUUCCUUGUCCUUCCUUACAGUCAAGUUAUAUUAGUCCCUUCGCAGAGCAAGACAAAAAGAUACAGCAAUCUAAACUGAAUGGAUGUUAAGUUUUAGAAGUAUUAUUUAACAUAAAUUUACCAUGUAUAAUCUGAUAAUGGUACUGGAAAGUUUUGUCCAUAUGAAACCAUUUAACUAAAAACUUAGUUCUAUAGCAGAGGAUAAAGAACACCCUAAAACUGUAUUUAAUUGAAUGAUCCACUAAAAUAGUAUGGCAAAUACAUAGUGUAUGAUAUAAAUGCAUGUUAAGGAAGAAGAAUGGCAGAGUAGAAAGAGCAUUAAGCUCUAAAGCAGUGCCCUGGCCAGUGUAGCUCAGUUGGUUGGAGCAUCCUCCUGUAGACCCGUGAUCUUUUGAUCACAGGUUCUAAUUCCCAGUCAGGGCACAUACCCAGAUUGUGUGUUUGAUCCCUGGUUGUGACAUGUACAAGAAGUCAACCAAUUAAUGCUUCUCUCUCUCUCUCUCUCUCUCUCUCAAAGCAAUGAAAAAAAUAUCCUCAGGUGAGAACAAAAAUAUAAAUGAAUAAAUAAAUAAACUCUAGAGCAGUAUGCCUUGACCUAGCUUAGAAGGUUGAACUAGUAGCUCACCAAUUUCUGCCCAACUCAGAAAUUGAACCAGACAAGAACCAGAAAAAUAUUCUUUCUCAGGCUGAUCCAACCAGACUACUGCUGAAAUAAGUCCUUAAGCCCAUUUCUACUUUUCCAAAAGUACAUCACUUCGUUAAUCAUAACUAAUGACCCCCAUGCCAUUUUGCCCCACAAAGUCAAUCUAUGAGAGAACAUAAGAUGAUGAGGAAUUUACACUGGAUUUGUGAACUGUAGUGUUGGAAGCAUUAGUUAUACCACAUGCAAUCUAUAAUUGAACCCAGAGAAAGGAUGACUUAUGCAGAGAAUCAUUUUUGUGUUCCAUGUAGUGCCUAGUAUUUAGUAUGAGCUAAAUUUAAAAAUAUAUCAAUGUAAUCACUCUUUAGUAACUCAGUUUUAGAAGUCUUGAGUAAGACCAAAGGUGAAAAUGAGACUCUUUGAAUGCUGUUAUUAUAAAGCUAAGUCCAAAAUACUUCAGUGUAUUUUUUAAAUUGAUUUGAGAGUGAGAGAGGGUAGGGGAGAGUGAAUCACUGAUUUGCUGUUCCACUUAUUUUUGCAUGUAUUGGUUGAUUCUUGUAUGUGCCCUGACAAGGGAUCAAAUCCACAACCUUAACUUGUCAGGUUGAUGCUGUAACUAAAUGAGCUACCCAGCCAGGGCUUACUUCAAUGUGUUUUGUAUGUCCUGUGAGAAAAACAAGAGAGAGAGGAUUCCAGCCUUUGAGGAGCUUACAAAUCUGUAAAGUAAGAUUUCACUGCACAUGAACAACUUUAGAAAAACUUUAAAAGGGAGCAUGAAAACAAAGGUACAGAACAAGAUGUACAGUAUCCUGCUAUUUACAUUUUCCUAAGAAAGCACACUCACAUAUAUAUGUAUGUUGGGUUUCACAAUCUCUCAAUAGGUACAUCAGACACUAAUAGCAAUGACUGGGAAAGGGCCGUGGAAGACUGGGGGGUUAGGGAUUGGAGGAAGACUUACUUUUCACUAUAUAGCCUUUAGCACU